RNAcentral lists this unclassified non-coding RNA (339 nucleotides) under soil metagenome. Its description in RNAcentral is "partial contains 5.8S ribosomal RNA, internal transcribed spacer 2, and large subunit ribosomal RNA". The stretch from base 1 to 120 matches the Rfam family "5.8S ribosomal RNA", at positions 35 to 154 of the family's 154-position model. The record is from RNAcentral.
GAUGAAUAACGUAGCGAAAUGCGAUAAGUAAUGUGAAUUGCAGAAUUCAGUGAAUCAUCGAAUCUUUGAACGCACAUUGCGCCCGCCAGUAUUCUGGCGGGCAUGCCUGUCCGAGCGUCAUUUCAACCAUCAAGCCCCCGGGCUUGUGUUGGGGACCUGCGGCUGCCCGCAGGCCCUGAAAACCAGUGGCGGGCUCGCUGUCACACCGAGCGUAGUAGCAAUCACCUCGCUCAGGGCGUGCUGCGGGUUCCGGCCGUUAAACAGCCUUACAAAACCCAAGGUUGACCUCGGAUCAGGUAGGAAGACCCGCUGAACUUAAGCAUAUCAAUAAGCGGAGGA